GGCGGCGUGCCUAACACAUGCAAGUCGAACGAGAAAGUGGAGCAAUCCAUGAGUAAAGUGGCGACCGGGUGAGUAACACGUGACUAACCUGCCUUCGAGUGGGGGAUAACCUCGGGAAACCGGGGCUAAUACCGCAUAAUGCCUACGGGUUAAAGGAGCAAUUCGCUUGAAGAGGGGGUCGCGGCUGAUUAGCUAGUUGGCGGGGUAACGGCCCACCAAGGCGAUGAUCGGUAGCCGGCCUGAGAGGGCGCACGGCCACACUGGAACUGAAACACGGUCCAGACUCCUACGGGAGGCAGCAGUGGGGAAUUUUGCGCAAUGGGGGAAACCCUGACGCAGCAACGCCGCGUGGAGGAUGAAGUCCUUUGGGACGUAAACUCCUUUCGACCGGGACGAUAAUGACGGUACCGGUGGAAGAAGCCCCGGCUAACUUCGUGCCAGCAGCCGCGGUAAUACGAGGGGGGCAAGCGUUGUUCGGAAUUAUUGGGCGUAAAGGGCGCGUAGGCGGUGCGGUAAGUCACCUGUGAAACCUCUGGGCUUAACUCAGAGCCUGCAGGCGAAACUGCCGUGCUG
RNAcentral lists this ribosomal RNA (573 nucleotides) under uncultured bacterium. RNAcentral's name for it is "bacterial SSU rRNA". It matches the Rfam family "Bacterial small subunit ribosomal RNA", at positions 38 to 643 of the family's 1533-position model. The record is from RNAcentral.